CAACGGGGCAACAGUUGUAAAAACAAACCACAUUUGAGGCUACACGGGCUGCACAGUCAGACUCUUUCUGCUCACCACACACACACACACACACUGAGAGAAAGAGGGUCGUCAGAAAUGGAAAAGUUGAUUUUUCAGACAGUGAGGAACUGCCGAGACGCCACAAGAAUCGAGAUUUUGGCUAAUCUGCAGCCAGCGUGCGUUUGUGUGUGUGAGCGCGCGCGCGCGCGUGUGUGUGCGUUUUUUUUUAUUUUUUUUUGUCAGCAUACCUAAAAUCUCCGAAGCGUCGAAGAAAACCCCCAUUAGUGUCUGAUAUAUUGAAUUAUGUCCAGUUGGUCCGCGUUAUUCAAGUGCAAAUGACCGCGCUCGUGUCCAGAAAAGGCUUGGCCACAGGAUGUGCUGGAGGCAGGCGGAAAAAGUCUGCGCUUCCUCGGCGCAAACUUGACGAGCUCGACGACGCGUGAAGAUAAAAGGAGCGAAAGGGGAAACUUUAAGCGAGCUACUCGCUCGUUUAGCUGAAUAUAUAGAGUUGACAACCUACGGAAGUGUUACUUUAUGGUGGGUGUUUUUUCCACUCGGGUUCGAGGAGCUGCAGUGACUUCUGCGGACGUGCUGUGUUGUGUUGCGAGCGGCUGUGUGGACUGUAAGGAGCUCCAGUCUCCAGGCUGAGGUACUGAGGGACGCUCCGCUCCGCUUUACACCGGCGCUCAACAAGACCAGACCAAUGUUCACUUCACACGCCUUUCACAGCACAGACACACACGGCGAGUCAUGCUACGAGCUUUUUUCACUCAAAACUCGGACUAAUCGAAUCCUACAAAGCAUAUUAGCCUCAGUAUUACAGCCGUGUACCAGCCGCUAUUCCUCUAAUUUGACCAUUUAAGGCAUUUAAAGGACACCGUAGGGUGUUGUUUCUUCACCAAGGCUGCACUUCAUUGGUCCAGCUCUGCACCAGUGGACACUUCAGUGUCAGGCUGCUUACAACGACCUGUAACAGAAAAACUUCACGUUUAGCUUUCAGGUUCCAGGUGAUCUAAGAGGGCGAAAUCUUAGAGUAGCUUUGACUGUGUACUUACAAUGAUUUGGUAAAGUGCAGGACACUCCUGCUGGAACUCCAAACACAGAGCUGUCGCUCCUGCCUCAGUCAAGUGCACUUUCUCUCUUCUUCACACUUGCAGUAGCUAUAAAGGCAGACAGAGCAGGUCAGUAGGCCUACAACUCCUUAAUUGUCACAUAUUAAGAUCAUUCACUGAAUGUAAACAGGAGCCAAGUUUAAAGGACAAUACAGGAGUCAGGUUUAGUUUAUUUGAUGCCUUUUCAUUAUUGCCUUACAUUUUUUUUGUUUAUUAUUAGACAUAAAUUGACAUUUUUCAUAUUAUAGGUUUAAGUCAGCCCCUGUCUGUAAAUGUAAAUCAGUGUUUUUCAUAUAUUUAUGUGUCUUGUUAGCCUUGUCAAAUCAUUCUAAAUGGAUUCAGUUAAAUUGUAUUUUUUUGGACACAUGGGCUGUCAUACAUUUUUUUUAUUUGCACGUGCAACUGUGAACAUAUCUUUCUGUGGGUGUAUGUGCAACAUAAAAAGAAAGUAACAAUUAAGAUUUCAAUAAAUGAGAUUUUUUUACUAGCCCUUAUUA
Molecule: long non-coding RNA, 1630 nt
Organism: Pygocentrus nattereri (red-bellied piranha)
Lineage: Eukaryota; Metazoa; Chordata; Actinopteri; Characiformes; Serrasalmidae
Exons: 2
Source: RefSeq, a predicted model, not a curated record